Molecule: ribosomal RNA, 326 nt
Filed under: uncultured eukaryote
Lineage: Eukaryota
Description: partial 18S ribosomal RNA
Rfam family: Eukaryotic small subunit ribosomal RNA
Source: RNAcentral
CCCUUAGAUGUUCUGGGCUGCACGCGCGCUACACUGAUGCACUAAACGAGUUUACGACCUUGCCCGAUAGGGUUGGGUAAUCUUUUUAAAAUGCAUCGUGAUGGGGAUAGAUUAUUGCAAUUAUUAAUCUUCAACGAGGAAUUCCUAGUAAGCGCGAGUCAUCAGCUCGUGCUGAUUACGUCCCUGCCCUUUGUACACACCGCCCGUCGCUCCUACCGAUUGAGUGCUCAGGUGAAUAAUUCGGACUGCAGCAAUGUUUGGAUCCCGAACGUUGCAGCGGAAAGUUUAGUGAACCUUAUCACUUAGAGGAAGGAGAAGUCGUAACA